This 490-nucleotide ribosomal RNA is filed under the name uncultured bacterium. Its description in RNAcentral is "partial 16S ribosomal RNA". It matches the Rfam family "Bacterial small subunit ribosomal RNA", at positions 30 to 507 of the family's 1533-position model. The record is from RNAcentral.
AUUGAACGCUGGCGGCAGGCCUAACACAUGCAAGUCGAACGGUAACAGGAAGCAGCUUGCUGCUUUGCUGACGAGUGGCGGACGGGUGAGUCAUGUCUGGGAAACUGCCUGAUGGAGGGGGAUAACUACUGGAAACGGUAGCUAAUACCGCAUAACGUCGCAAGACCAAAGAGGGGGACCUUAGGGCCUCUUGCCAUCGGAUGUGCCCAGAUGGGAUUAGCUAGUAGGUGGGGUAACGGCUCACCUAGGCGACGAUCCCUAGCUGGUCUGAGAGGAUGACCAGCCACACUGGAACUGAGACACGGUCCAGACUCCUACGGGAGGCAGCAGUGGGGAAUAUUGCACAAUGGGCGCAAGCCUGAUGCAGCCAUGCCGCGUGUAUGAAGAAGGCCUUCGGGUUGUAAAGUACUUUCAGCGGGGAGGAAGGGAGUAAAGUUAAUACCUUUGCUCAUUGACGUUACCCGCAGAAGAAGCACCGGCUAACUCCGUG